UCAGUCGACUCCUACGGGGAGGCAGCAGUGGGGAAUAUUGCACAAUGGGGGAAACCCUGAUGCAGCCAUGCCGCGUGUGUGAAGAAGGCCUUCGGGUUGUAAAGCACUUUCAGUUGUGAGGAAAGUUAGUAGUUAAUACCUGCUAGCCGUGACGUUAACAACAGAAGAAGCACCGGCUAACUCCGUGCCAGCAGCCGCGGUAAUACGGAGGGUGCGAGCGUUAAUCGGAAUUACUGGGCGUAAAGCGCACGCAGGCGGUUUGUUAAGCUAGAUGUGAAAGCCCCGGGCUCAACCUGGGAUGGUCAUUUAGAACUGGCAGACUAGAGUCUUGGAGAGGGAGUGGAAUUCCAGGUGUAGCGGUGAAAUGCGUAGAUAUCUGGAGGAACAUCAGUGGCGAAGGCGACUCCCUGGCCAAAGACUGACGCUCAUGUGCGAAAGUGUGGGUAGCGAACAGGAUUAGAUACCCUGGUAG
Molecule: ribosomal RNA, 472 nt
Filed under: uncultured bacterium
Lineage: Bacteria
Description: bacterial SSU rRNA
Rfam family: Bacterial small subunit ribosomal RNA
Source: RNAcentral